GUGGGCGUAGCUCAGUUGGUAGAGCCCCGGAUUGUGAUUCCGGUUGUCGUGGGUUCAAGUCCCAUCGUUCACCCCA
RNAcentral lists this transfer RNA (76 nucleotides) under Fangia hongkongensis. Its description in RNAcentral is "tRNA-His". It matches the Rfam family "tRNA". Rfam says of the family: Transfer RNA (tRNA) molecules are approximately 80 nucleotides in length. RNAcentral also lists the same sequence under 4 other names. Lineage: Bacteria; Pseudomonadati; Pseudomonadota; Gammaproteobacteria; Thiotrichales; Fastidiosibacteraceae. The record is from RNAcentral.